CAGAGUUUAUCUCACGUACGCGUAUGAACCAGAACCGAAAAUCUCCUGUUUCUUCGCCGGCUCCGUUCGAUUUCGUGCUCUCUUUUUCCACGAAAUUCUAUCUAUAAAUAACCCACACCUGUGCACACUUUAUCCCGCAAAAACCCUAACCAAUCCCGCCGCCAGGCUGACGAUUUUGCUCGCCGGAGUCCGUCUCUGCCGUCGCCGUAUUUCUCUCGAUUCCGACGAGUAUUCAAGCGUAGCGCUGACGCCGAAGAAAUCUGAGGUUGCCGCAGCCUUGGCAACUCCGUCCGAAGAACGCCGGCAACUCAGGGCCUCCGAGGCAACGCCCUGUAUGCAGUCGACCCCUUCGUCUUCGUCCGCUUCACGUCGACCUCGCCACCACCGCCGACGACCACUAGAACGACGGGAACCAUCACCUCGACUGGAUCACACCGGAGCAGCACCACCUCCGGCCGUCCUCGUCGUUGUUACACGGAAGAGAUCGAGGCCGCCGGCCUCAACACCGAGCUCUGCGCGAAGAGCUGGUUCCCGUGGACAUUUUCCCUGAGCCAGGACACCACCGGAGAGGGGACAUGGACCGCGCGCGAUCACGCCAGUGUCUCCUUCGUCAACAUUUGUACGGAGAGAUACGAGUUUUGAUUGAGAGAAGUGCAGAAUUCUUCAAUUACCAAAAAGGCAAGUGUCACACACUGUUCUGUCCUAUUAUUUUUGUAUGCACAUUGUAGUUAUUUUCAGUAGCUAUGUAUGUGUAGGAGUUUUUCAAAUUAUAUAUUGCUAUGCCAAUAAACCUAUCUAGGAUAGCCAUAUGAUUUCAUGCUUUAUUCUUUGUCGCCACCGUACUGUAGUAUGCUUAGCGUUGCUAUUGUAGAUGCGUGGCUGGGAUUUCAUGAUGUGAUAUGUGGUAUGGUGAAAGUAUUGUUUUAUGUAAUAAAACAACCUAAGAUAAUGAAUCAUCUGGGUGGAAGUGGUUUGCUUGGUUUAUGUUGAGUGGUUACAACGGAGUCAUGUCUAUGGCGGUCGUGUGUAUCACACUUGUGGAUGGCCACCCAGAAACAAGGAGAUUUGACAGGUUUCUUGUUUAGUAGCUUCCGUGUACAGCCGCAUGUCAUAUGGGCUCUGGCUUGACUAAGUAGGUUGUAGGAACCCGACCUGACGUGACUAGCAGAUGUAGAUGUGUA
Lolium perenne is the source of this 1181-nucleotide non-coding RNA. The record is from RefSeq and is a predicted model, not a curated record. Lineage: Eukaryota; Viridiplantae; Streptophyta; Magnoliopsida; Poales; Poaceae.